AGGCAGAGAGGAGUGCAGCAUGCAACUUAUCCCCUGUGAGUUGAACUCCAAUGCAUGUACUCCUGGCUGGAGUUGGACAUACUGGCUGGGAGAGGCAGGGGCACACCGGGGGACUGCAUCGACUUGGCUACUGAGCAAAGAGAGCUCUUUCUCAUCCCUAAUGGUGUGAGUUACAGCGGUGGACCCUACAGAUUCCCUCACUCCCAGUGCCCACCUUCUCUGGCUCUGAGUUCUAAAGCAGAAUUCUGGCCACUUCUGAACAAUCCCUGCCUUUGUCUUUGAAAAGGAAACCGAACAGCCAAGUUCUAUCUAAUGCAGGACUUAACCCUGGGGGUAUGGGUCCUGGUGAUCAGAGCCACCUCUGAAUGCCUGCCUGCCCGGUUGGCACAGCUUGUUAGCAAAAGUAAGGACUCUGCAGGGCUGCUGGCUCUCCUCCUACACAUCCGGUCUGUACCAGGACCAGCCAGAAUGUUGGCCUCAUCACCACCACCACACUCAGCUGACCAUGAAAGACCACAUCCACACCUGCGAAAUACCGAGGCCAGUGAGAGCCACAACACACUGAAACAACCUUACCAUCACAAACCAAGGAAGACUACAAGUGAGCAAGCUGAAGCUGUUUUUUCUUCAUUUAAUUUCACACCCUCCCCAGAAAAUGAGAACCAAGAUCUGACAUGUAAAGGUACAAGAUCCCAAUGAUGAAUGUAACUGUACUGUAUACUUAAAAAGUAC
This 732-nucleotide long non-coding RNA is filed under the name Fukomys damarensis (Damara mole-rat). RNAcentral's name for it is "lncRNA (ENSFDAG00000023739.1)". Lineage: Eukaryota; Metazoa; Chordata; Mammalia; Rodentia; Bathyergidae. The record is from RNAcentral.